RNAcentral lists this transfer RNA (77 nucleotides) under Parcubacteria group bacterium ADurb.Bin216. RNAcentral describes it as "tRNA-Pro". It matches the Rfam family "tRNA". From Rfam's summary of the family: Transfer RNA (tRNA) molecules are approximately 80 nucleotides in length. Their secondary structure includes four short double-helical elements and three loops (D, anti-codon, and T loops). Further hydrogen bonds mediate the characteristic L-shaped molecular structure. tRNAs have two regions of fundamental functional importance: the anti-codon, which is responsible for specific mRNA codon recognition, and the 3' end, to which the tRNAs corresponding amino acid is attached (by aminoacyl-tRNA synthetases). tRNAs cope with the degeneracy of the genetic code in two manners: having more than one tRNA (with a specific anti-codon) for a particular amino acid; and 'wobble' base-pairing, i.e. permitting non-standard base-pairing at the 3rd anti-codon position. The record is from RNAcentral.
CAGGGAGUGGCUCAGAUGAUUAGAGUGCCUGCUUUGGAAGCAGGAGGUCGUAGGUUUAAGUCCUACCUCCCUGACCA